RNAcentral lists this transfer RNA (68 nucleotides) under Urspelerpes brucei (patch-nosed salamander). Its description in RNAcentral is "tRNA-Trp". It matches the Rfam family "tRNA". From Rfam's summary of the family: Transfer RNA (tRNA) molecules are approximately 80 nucleotides in length. Their secondary structure includes four short double-helical elements and three loops (D, anti-codon, and T loops). Further hydrogen bonds mediate the characteristic L-shaped molecular structure. tRNAs have two regions of fundamental functional importance: the anti-codon, which is responsible for specific mRNA codon recognition, and the 3' end, to which the tRNAs corresponding amino acid is attached (by aminoacyl-tRNA synthetases). tRNAs cope with the degeneracy of the genetic code in two manners: having more than one tRNA (with a specific anti-codon) for a particular amino acid; and 'wobble' base-pairing, i.e. permitting non-standard base-pairing at the 3rd anti-codon position. Lineage: Eukaryota; Metazoa; Chordata; Amphibia; Caudata; Plethodontidae. The record is from RNAcentral.
AAAGACUUAGGAUAAAAAGACCAAGGACCUUCAAAGCCCUAAGCAGGAGUUAGACCUCCUAGUUUUUG